This is a small nuclear RNA of Ailuropoda melanoleuca (giant panda), 104 nucleotides long. The record is from Ensembl. Lineage: Eukaryota; Metazoa; Chordata; Mammalia; Carnivora; Ursidae.
GUGCUUGCUUUGGCAGCACAUAUGCUAAAAUUGGAAUGAUACAGAGAUUAGCAUGGCCUCUGCCCAAGGAUGACACACAAAUUCGUGAAGUGUUCCAUAUUUUU